RNAcentral lists this RNase P RNA (357 nucleotides) under Candidatus Omnitrophota bacterium. Its description in RNAcentral is "RNase P RNA component class A". It matches the Rfam family "Bacterial RNase P class A". Rfam says of the family: Ribonuclease P (RNase P) is a ubiquitous endoribonuclease, found in archaea, bacteria and eukarya as well as chloroplasts and mitochondria. Lineage: Bacteria; Pseudomonadati; Candidatus Omnitrophota. The record is from RNAcentral.
GGAAUAGAUCGGAUGGCCGCCUUGCCCGAAAGGGCGGGGAGGAAAGUCCGAGCUCCGGAGAGCAGCGUAGCGGCUAACGGCCGCCUUCGGCGCUAAGCUUAUGAAGUUAGUGUCGGAAGGAUUAGAGCCACAGAGACGAGUAAGUACACUACUGGUGUAUGGAAGUGAAACGCGGCAAUCUCUACGUGGAGCAAGGUCAAAUAGUUCCCGAUCAAGGAACUGCUCGUUUCUACCGUGACUUAUCGGUAUCGGGAAGGGUAGGCUGCACGAGGUUGUCAGUAAUGGCAGCCCAAGAUAGAUGGUCAUCGGCGCGCGCAAGCGCGCUUACAGAACUCGGCUUACAGGUCUAUUCCGCUA